Myotis lucifugus (little brown bat) is the source of this 568-nucleotide long non-coding RNA. RefSeq lists it as uncharacterized. The transcript has 3 exons. The record is from RefSeq and is a predicted model, not a curated record. Lineage: Eukaryota; Metazoa; Chordata; Mammalia; Chiroptera; Vespertilionidae.
CAGUUCAAUUUAGGAGAAAAUGGCAUAAUUUAAAUGGAAUGUUAUUUGAGACAUUACAAUGAUAAUCUCUUUGCUAAAUUGAAACAAAUGGUAAUUCUCAAGGCCAGCUUCCUUAAUUAUACCUCUCAUUCUCAAGUAGUAAUUUUGAAGCUUGUAUGAAACUAAAACACCAAGACAGCAAUUUUGAUUGAAAUGUAUUUCAAGGAAACCCUACCAGGUUGUAAAAAGCCACAAACUAGCAUUAAAAACAUUCACUUAAAAGAGAGCUGGCUUGAUGAGGGCUUGUGUUCUCCUUAGUGUGACCAGCAUUACUUCAAAGGAAGAGGGGCUGAACUGCAAAGGCUGCCCUGCCAGUGACCCCCAGCCAGGAGACAUGGCCUCUGCACCUGAAUUGAUACAGUUGAACUUCUCAUCUACCCUACAGACAAGUACGACAGUUCAACUGGCAAUCUUUUCCAGUUAAAGACAAGCUUUGCCAUUUACUAAUCUGGUGACGUCAGACAAACCACUUAAUUGAGACUCAGACUCCUAGAUACUUAAAGAAUGACCACUGAAGAUCAAGAGAUGG